UAGAAAGUAGUGUAGAGGAAGCACUAAGAGUUUUGAUCUCUUAAGUAUGGGUUCAACUCCCUUUUUUCUAG
Molecule: transfer RNA, 71 nt
Filed under: Balantiocheilos melanopterus (tricolor sharkminnow)
Lineage: Eukaryota; Metazoa; Chordata; Actinopteri; Cypriniformes; Cyprinidae
Description: tRNA-Gln
Rfam family: tRNA
About the family: Transfer RNA (tRNA) molecules are approximately 80 nucleotides in length. Their secondary structure includes four short double-helical elements and three loops (D, anti-codon, and T loops).
Source: RNAcentral